RNAcentral lists this ribosomal RNA (478 nucleotides) under uncultured bacterium. RNAcentral's name for it is "partial 16S ribosomal RNA". It matches the Rfam family "Bacterial small subunit ribosomal RNA", at positions 28 to 523 of the family's 1533-position model. The record is from RNAcentral.
GACGAACGCUGGCGGCGUGCUUAACACAUGCAAGUCGAACGGUAAGGCCCUUCGGGGUACACGAGUGGCGAACGGGUGAGUAACACGUGGGUGAUCUGCCCUGCACUUUGGGAUAAGCCUGGGAAACUGGGUCUAAUACCGAAUAGGAUCAUGGCCUUCAUGGGUUGUGGUGGAAAGCUUUUGCGGUGUGGGGUGGGCCCGCGGCCUAUCAGCUUGUUGGUGGGGUAAUGGCCUACCAAGGCGACGACGGGUAGCCGGCCUGAGAGGGUGUCCGGCCACACUGGGACUGUGAUACGGCCCAGAGUCUUACGGGAGGCAGCAGGGGGGAAUAUUGCACAAUAGGCGCAAGCCUGAUGCAGCGACGCCGCGGGGGGGAUGACGGCCUUCGGGUUGUAAACCUCUUUCGGUAGGGACGAAGCGUAAGUGACGGUACCUACAGAAGAAGCCCCGGCCAACUACGUGCCAGCCGCCGCAGUAA